UUGUCGGAUUUGCACAUUCAAAUUUUUUGGUUCUAGUUGAUAUUAUUUCUUUCUUUGUAAAUAUUUUUCUAAAUGGAAGAAAUUAACAUUUUUCAAAUUUUCUCCUAUUCAUUAAUUAGUUGUUAUACAUAUAUUCCAACGUAAUCAAUACAAUACUAAAAGGAAGAUAUAAUCCAUCGAGAAGGUGUCCACGUCAGCUUAAAUAAUCAACCAAUUAGAAAACAGCUAUGUUAAUGAAUAAUUCCACGUCACCGAAGCACUUCUCUUUCGCGUUCUCACCGUCUUACCGACGACGAAAGAAACCGACCUAAUUUGUCGUUACAGUUCAAUCGUAAAUUCUGCAUUCAAUUAUUAUUAAACAAAUAAGAAACUCUUCAAAUUCAUCCUGCAUUCCACAUCACUAUAUUAAUCGAUGGCGAGUUCUAGAUUUGAAGAUUCUAAUUACGCGAAGAAGCUGUUUCGUCUCUCCUCUUUGUUCUACGGCGCAAGGAGACGCCUGAGCUUUUUCCUGACCAGAGUCGACAAUGAUUCAAGAGCUUUUGUAAACUGGGAAAACACUGAAAUAUUUCGAUAAAAAGAGUUGACCUUCCACCCCAAAAGACCAUGGAGUCUCUCUAAAUUACACAGAGGUGGCAUCCAGCUCUCGGAUUAUAGAAUGGGCGCUUUGAUCGAUACAGUUGACAAUCACGAAGGCCCUGUUUGUUCUCACUCCAUAGCCUUUCUUCUUCUGAAGAGUGAUCUGUAGAAAGUAAUGAAGAGGAAGGUGGUGCUUACAAUCCACUGAAGCUGCCAAUGGGUUAGGACGGGAAGCCAAUACCAUACUGGCUCUACAAGCUUCAUGGACUUGGCCAGAAGUUGAAUGCGAGAUACGUGGAAACAGUGUCUACAUGGGUAGAAGGGCUUUUGAGAGACAUUUCAAAAAGAGUUUCACAACCAAAUGGAUGCCAGAACUUGAAGAAGACUUACUCUGAUCUCCAACGUCAACGUUGCGUUCCACCUUUUCCCAACGAACGGAGCCAUUGCAAGACCUUGACAAAGAGUGGCACAUCUCAUUAACUCAACUUCGUAAUUGAUAGACGUGGGACCUCAAAAGCUUAAGGAGGCGCUGGGGGCACUGGGGCUGAAAGUUGGUGGUACUUUGCAGCAACAUGCCGAGAGACUUUUCCUUACAAAGGACUACAACUGUUCGUCUCAGUGCUUUCGAUGUUCAGGCCAGCCAACUUCACCAGAACUUAUUUAGGGUACGUGUUGAGCUUACGGUCAUUGUUUCCACCAGAAUUAGUCCCAAGUUUGUUGGAGGUCGCCUAUUCAUGAUGAUUCAAGUUUAUAUAUUUUGGAACUUGCAAAUAAAGAGAUGUUGACUUGACCAACCGCUGGUUUGGGCGAGUCUGGAGCUAGCUGCUCCACAAGUUCUACUAAAUAUGGUGGUGUAAAGAAAAUUGCAUCUGUUACGGUGUCCGAGCUAAAUGCAUACGCUCUCAAUGCUUCUAGCAGUGUGACAUAUUGUAAUGCGUGUUGACAGGGCGGAAAUAACCACCCCAGUGGUAAUUCUAUGCCUGGCGCAGUGGCGCUAUAUGUGUGUCCUGCAUCUGCUCAGAUGGUCAGAAGUUAAAAGAAACUGACAUAGCUAUAGGCAGUGGUGAAAUCCCUGUGAACCCAACUCCUCUGCUGAAUGAAACCACAACAGCUGCUCAAACAACUCUGAUGAAAGCUUAGCUGCAUAAGUUACCCAUAUAUAGUUUCCUGCAUUUUCUGAAACGUCAUUUGCAUUGUCUUUUUCAAAACAUCGUUUGGUUUCAUGUUUCCAACUUAUUUAUCAAUAAAAGCAUAUUUUAAUAUUGGACCGGAUACACAUCAAUUUCUUAUAGUUCAUUGAUGUGAAUAGAUCACUAACCAUUUGUUUUCUUUUUACCUGACGAAGUACAUAUUUACUGUGUAGGUCAGAAUUACCUUUGACAAUUUGUACGAAAAUUUGAAUGAAAAUUAUUUUUAACA
Molecule: long non-coding RNA, 1995 nt
Organism: Brassica napus (rape)
Lineage: Eukaryota; Viridiplantae; Streptophyta; Magnoliopsida; Brassicales; Brassicaceae
Exons: 7
Source: RefSeq, a predicted model, not a curated record